GGGUGUACGUUACUUCAUGGAAACCAAUGCGGGGCAACCCGGAUACUGGUGAUGCAUAAUUUUUUUGAGAUCGAUGGCUAGAAACAUGCAUCAUUUCCUUUUCUGGCCUGCCUUAUUUGGUUGGUAUGGUAUUGGAUUCCCCUGCCAUGGACGGGACACGGAAAAUUAAAGCUCGAUUCGAGACAGGGAAGGGGACCUGUGGCUACCACAUCCCAUGAAAGGAAGGCGGCCGGAAAUUACCUUAUCCUGUCCCGGGGAGGGGAGGACAAUACGAACAAUGUCAGGUUGUUCUAAUGAUGACCAUUGUUAUGAUGACAACUAUUAUCCUUUUUUAUCGAUCAUCUGUAGGGGGGGUCGGGUGGCGCCAGCCGCCGCAAUUCCUCCUCCUCCAAUAUAUACUAUAAUAGUUGCUGCUAAAAAAAUCCUCGUAGAAUUUUCGGUCAUUAGACCUACCCAGCCUCAACGGGCAAUGCUUGGAAUCCCGACUCUCCUUCACGAGAAUAUAUCUGUCGCUCUUAUGAUGGUGAUGUGACCUUCUGCAUCUACUGUCAUGAAAAUAUAGAGUUGCUCGCAGGC
Molecule: ribosomal RNA, 576 nt
Filed under: uncultured eukaryote
Lineage: Eukaryota
Description: bacterial SSU rRNA
Rfam family: Eukaryotic small subunit ribosomal RNA
Source: RNAcentral